UACGAAGGGGGCUAGCGUUGUUCGGAAUUACUGGGCGUAAAGGGCGCGUAGGCGGUGCAUCAAGUCAGGCGUGAAAGCCCCGGGCUCAACCUGGGAACCGCGCUUGAGACUGGCGCACUAGAGUUCGGGAGAGGAUGGUGGAAUUCCCAGUGUAGAAGGUGAAAUUCGUAGAUAGUUGGGAAGAACACCGAUGGCGAAGGCAGCCAUCUGGACCGACACUGACGCUGAGGCGCGAAAGCGUGGGGAGCAAACAGGG
Molecule: ribosomal RNA, 256 nt
Filed under: uncultured bacterium
Lineage: Bacteria
Description: partial 16S ribosomal RNA
Rfam family: Bacterial small subunit ribosomal RNA
Source: RNAcentral